This 252-nucleotide ribosomal RNA is filed under the name uncultured bacterium. Its description in RNAcentral is "partial 16S ribosomal RNA". It matches the Rfam family "Bacterial small subunit ribosomal RNA", at positions 524 to 776 of the family's 1533-position model. The record is from RNAcentral.
GACAGAGGCCCCAAGCGUAGGCGGAAUCACUGGGCUUAAAGCGUGUGUAGGCGGAUCGUUAAGUGUCUUGUGAAAUCCCACGGCUCACCCGUGGAACUGCUGGGCAUACUGGCGAUCUUGGGCCAACUAGGGGCAGUCGGAACAAGCGGUGGAGCGGUGAAAUGCGUAGAUAUCGGGAGGAACACCAGUGGCGAAGGCGGCGAUCUGGGAAGAUACUGACGCUGAGGUGCGAAAGCGUGGGGAGCAAACAGG